Polistes dominula (European paper wasp) is the source of this 748-nucleotide long non-coding RNA. The record is from RefSeq and is a predicted model, not a curated record. Lineage: Eukaryota; Metazoa; Arthropoda; Insecta; Hymenoptera; Vespidae.
GUAGACAAUUGAAUUCAUUAUUAACAUAUAUACAUUUUAGCAGAUUAAAGUAAUAUUUUUGAAAUAGAAAGUUUAAAAUACCAUUGAAUUUAAAGUUAUGUUAAGUGAAAUAGAAAAUCAUUGCAGUUGUGGUUAUGUCACUGUUUAUACUUGCACUAGAAGCAAACCAUAUAUAGAGUAGUAAUAUUUUAUGAAAAGAAUAUUAGAUAGAAGAAAUGUUUCCUAGUUAUCACAAAUUAAGAAAAGAAAUGUUAAAUAUAUUCAAAUGUAUGCAGUUUUUAAUAUGUACUAGCUUUAUUGAUGUACUUAUUUUACUGGGAAUCGACUAAGAGCAGAAAAAUGUAUAUAUUUGUAUGAAUUCAUUUGUAGAAAUACCAUCAUGUAUUUUAUUAUAGAAAUAGGAAGCAACUAUAUUAGACAAUAUGAGGUAAAUAUAAUAAUCUUGUUUAAAAUACAUUUAUUUUUGUGAUAUAAAACUUGAAUUUAUAUAAUAUAAUUAAUUUUUUAUAAGUUUACAUAAAUUUUUACUUUAGUUACCGACUGGUAGAGAGAAUAUGUAUCGCCAUCUAGACGAAAGACAACUCAUCUCUAGGACAAAUUCAAGAUGGCCACCUGUCAUUGUAUACUGCAACGUGCAAUAAAUUAUCGCCAAUUCACUGUAAGAAGAAACCCAUUGGACUUGAUGUUUGAUAUCUUGUGAAGAAAAAAAACUAUUGGACUUGACGUUUGAUAUUUCCUUAAGAAGAAA